CUACUUUGCUGACGAGCGGCGGACGGGUGAGUAAUGCUUGGGAACAUGCCUUGAGGUGGGGGACAACAGUUGGAAACGACUGCUAAUACCGCAUAAUGUCUACGGACCAAAGGGGGCUUCGGCUCUCGCCUUUAGAUUGGCCCAAGUGGGAUUAGCUAGUUGGUGAGGUAAUGGCUCACCAAGGCGACGAUCCCUAGCUGGUUUGAGAGGAUGAUCAGCCACACUGGGACUGAGACACGGCCCAGACUCCUACGGGAGGCAGCAGUGGGGAAUAUUGCACAAUGGGCGCAAGCCUGAUGCAGCCAUGCCGCGUGUGUGAAGAAGGCCUUCGGGUUGUAAAGCACUUUCAGUCAGGAGGAAAGGUUAGUNGUUAAUACCUGNUAGCUGUGACGUUACUGACAGAAGAAGCACCGGCUAACUCCGUGCCAGCAGCCGCGGUAAUACGGAGGGUGCGAGCGUUAAUCGGAAUUACUGGGCGUAAAGCGUACGCAGGCGGUUUGUUAAGCGAGAUGUGAAAGCCCCGGGCUCAACCUGGGAACUGCAUUUCGAACUGGCAAACU
This 560-nucleotide ribosomal RNA is filed under the name Alteromonadales bacterium HD-OI-03-3. RNAcentral's name for it is "bacterial SSU rRNA". It matches the Rfam family "Bacterial small subunit ribosomal RNA", at positions 80 to 642 of the family's 1533-position model. The record is from RNAcentral. Lineage: Bacteria; Pseudomonadati; Pseudomonadota; Gammaproteobacteria; Alteromonadales.